This 73-nucleotide transfer RNA is filed under the name Minisyncoccota bacterium. Its description in RNAcentral is "tRNA-Lys". It matches the Rfam family "tRNA". Rfam says of the family: Transfer RNA (tRNA) molecules are approximately 80 nucleotides in length. Their secondary structure includes four short double-helical elements and three loops (D, anti-codon, and T loops). The record is from RNAcentral. RNAcentral also lists the same sequence under 2 other names. Lineage: Bacteria; Bacillati; Minisyncoccota.
GCGCCCAUAGCUCAGCUGGUAGAGCAGCUCCCUUUUAAGGAGAUGGUCGCAGGUUCGAUUCCUGCUGGGCGCA